UGAGCUGGUCGGGCGGCCGCGUCGGGCUUCGGCCCGCCGAGGAACGUCCGGGCUCCGAAGGGCAAGGUGGUGGGUAACGCCCACCCGGGGUGACCCGCGGGACAGUGCCACAGAGAACAGACCGCCGUCGAGGCCUUCGGGCCACGGCGGCAAGGGUGAAACGGUGGUGUAAGAGACCACCAGCGCACCGGGUGACCGGUGCGGCUCGGUAAACCCCACCUGGAGCUAGGUCGAACAGGGAGCGUUCGAGGGCGGCCCGCCCGAGCUCCCGGGUAGACCGCUCGAGGCG
This 289-nucleotide RNase P RNA is filed under the name Actinomycetales bacterium. RNAcentral describes it as "partial RNase P RNA component class A". It matches the Rfam family "Bacterial RNase P class A", at positions 1 to 287 of the family's 367-position model. From Rfam's summary of the family: Ribonuclease P (RNase P) is a ubiquitous endoribonuclease, found in archaea, bacteria and eukarya as well as chloroplasts and mitochondria. Its best characterised activity is the generation of mature 5'-ends of tRNAs by cleaving the 5'-leader elements of precursor-tRNAs. Cellular RNase Ps are ribonucleoproteins. The record is from RNAcentral. Lineage: Bacteria; Bacillati; Actinomycetota; Actinomycetes; Actinomycetales.